This 237-nucleotide ribosomal RNA is filed under the name uncultured bacterium. Its description in RNAcentral is "partial 16S ribosomal RNA". It matches the Rfam family "Bacterial small subunit ribosomal RNA", at positions 99 to 334 of the family's 1533-position model. The record is from RNAcentral.
CGAACGGGUGAGUAACGCGUGAGGAACCUGCCUCAAAGAGGGGGACAACAGUUGGAAACGACUGCUAAUACCGCAUAAGCCCACGGGUCGGCAUCGACCAGAGGGAAAAGGAGCAAUCCGCUUUGAGAUGGCCGCGCGUCCGAUUAGCUAGUUGGUGAGGUAAUGGCCCACCAAGGCGACGAUCGGUAGCCGGACUGAGAGGUUGAACGGCCACAUUGGGACUGAGACACGGCCCAG